Molecule: ribosomal RNA, 359 nt
Filed under: uncultured bacterium
Lineage: Bacteria
Description: bacterial SSU rRNA
Rfam family: Bacterial small subunit ribosomal RNA
Source: RNAcentral
AACGAACGCUGGCGGCAGGCCUAACACAUGCAAGUUGAACGCCCGUAGCAAUACGGGAGUGGCAGACGGGUGAGUAACGCGUGGGAACGUGCCCUUCGGUUUGGAAUAACUCAGGGAAACUUGAGCUAAUACCAAAUACGUCCGUAAGGAGAAAGAUUUAUCGCCGAAGGAUCGGCCCGCGUCGGAUUAGCUAGUUGGUGAGGUAACGGCCCACCAAGGCGACGAUCCGUAGCUGGUCUGAGAGGAUGAUCAGCCACACUGGGACUGAGACACGGCCCAGACUCCUACGGGAGGCAGCAGGUGGGGAAUAUUGGACAAUGGGCGAAAGCCUGAUCCAGCCAUGCCGCGUGAGUGAAGAA